Molecule: ribosomal RNA, 476 nt
Filed under: uncultured bacterium
Lineage: Bacteria
Description: partial 16S ribosomal RNA
Rfam family: Bacterial small subunit ribosomal RNA
Source: RNAcentral
GACGAACGCUGGCGGCGUGCUUAACACAUGCAAGUCGAACGAUGAAGCCGGAGCUUGCUCCGGUGGAUUAGUGGCGAACGGGUGAGUAACACGUGAGCAAUCUGCCCUUGACUCUGGGAUAACUGCGGGAAACUGUAGCUAAUACCGGAUACGACACCUUGGGGCAUCCCAGGGUGUGGAAAGAAUUUCGGUCAAGAAAAAGCUCGCGGCCUAUCAGCUAGUUGGUGAGGUAAUGGCUCACCAAGGCGACGACGGAUAGCCGGCCUGAGAGGGUGACCGGACACACUGGAAGUGAGACACGGUACAGACUCCUACGGGAGGCAGCAGUGGGGAAUAGUACACAAUGGGCGAAAGCCUGAUGCAGCAACGGCGCGUGAGAGAUGAAGGCCUGCGGGUUGUACACCUCUUAUGUGGGAAGAUUAUGACGGUACCGCAUGAAUAAGCACCGGCUAACUACGUGCCAGCCGCCGCCGUAA